Molecule: ribosomal RNA, 253 nt
Filed under: uncultured bacterium
Lineage: Bacteria
Description: partial 16S ribosomal RNA
Rfam family: Bacterial small subunit ribosomal RNA
Source: RNAcentral
UACGUAGGGUGCAAGCGUUAAUCGGAAUUACUGGGCGUAAAGCGUGCGCAGGCGGCUUCGCAAGACAGAUGUGAAAUCCCCGGGCUCAACCUGGGAACUGCAUUUGUGACUGCAUGGCUGGAGUGCGGCAGAGGGGGAUGGAAUUCCGCGUGUAGCAGUGAAAUGCGUAGAUAUGCGGAGGAACACCGAUGGCGAAGGCAAUCCCCUGGGCCUGCACUGACGCUCAUGCACGAAAGCGUGGGGAGCAAACAGG